This 253-nucleotide ribosomal RNA is filed under the name uncultured bacterium. RNAcentral describes it as "partial 16S ribosomal RNA". It matches the Rfam family "Bacterial small subunit ribosomal RNA", at positions 524 to 776 of the family's 1533-position model. The record is from RNAcentral.
UACGAAGGGGGCGAGCGUUGUUCGGAUUUACUGGGCGUAAAGGGCGCGCAGGCGGCUCAUUUUGUCAGGCGUGAAAGCCCCGGGCUUAACCUGGGAACUGCGUUUGAUACGGGUGGGCUAGAGUUCGGGAGAGGAGAGUGGAAUUCCCAGUGUAGAGGUGAAAUUCGUAGAUAUUGGGAAGAACACCGGUGGCGAAGGCGGCUCUCUGGACCGAUACUGACGCUGAGACGCGAAAGCGUGGGGGGCAAACAGG